CACAGGUUGCUGAAUCAUGUCUCUGAUACUGAGGCCCUCUCUCCUAAGUCCAGAGCUGCACCGGACACCUGCCUAGCCAUUCCCAGGGACUAGGAGGAGCCUAUAAUUAGGAGAGGCACUUGUCUGAGACGGGGCAAAGGUGAGCCCUCAGGAAGGGACAGGGGAAGGGAGCUUUCCAUGUCCAGUUGAACCAUGUGACUCUUAAGAGCAAAGAACCGUGUGACUUGAACUUAGUAUUUAGGGCCAAACUCUGUCUUGGAUGCCUGGAAAUAUUUGACAUGAUGUCAUGAAAAGCUAUGAAAGUGUCUCUCUGUAGCUCCAAGGAAGGAAUUAGUCUUUUGCACGUACGUAUGUGUUCAAUUUUCGGCUGUCCUGAUUUCUCUCAAAAAGUCCAUGGUUCUUCCUCAGAGCUUAUCCAGGCCCGUCUGUGCCUCAUCUGCACUGGGGCAAGUCCUGCAUGCCUGGCUCCUUUGGCCCCAUUUUUCUGGCUGACUGGGUGGCACUCUGUGACAUUUUUCAAUCACACACUGUCAAGAGCUAAG
This 542-nucleotide long non-coding RNA is filed under the name Marmota monax (woodchuck). The record is from RNAcentral. Lineage: Eukaryota; Metazoa; Chordata; Mammalia; Rodentia; Sciuridae.